This 468-nucleotide ribosomal RNA is filed under the name uncultured bacterium. Its description in RNAcentral is "partial 16S ribosomal RNA". It matches the Rfam family "Bacterial small subunit ribosomal RNA", at positions 28 to 507 of the family's 1533-position model. The record is from RNAcentral.
GACGAACGCUGGCGGCGUGCUUAACACAUGCAAGUCGAACGGACAGGCCCUGCUUUUGUUGGUUGCUCGAUUGGCGAACGGGUGAGUAACACGUGAGUAACCUGCCCUUGACUUUGUGAUAACUUCAGGAAACUCGGGCUAAUACCGGAUAUGAGCUCCUGCUGCAUGGUGUUGGUUGGAAAGUUUCGGCGGUUGGGGAUGGACUCGCGGCUUAUCAGCUUGUUUGUGGGGUAGUUGCUUACCAAGGCUUUGACGGGUAGCCGGCCUGAGAGGGUGACCGGCCACAUGGCGACUGAGAGACGGCCCAGAAGGCUACGGGAGGCAGCAGGGGGGAAUAUUGCACAAUGGGCGGAAGUGUGAGACAGCAAUGCCGGGUGCGGGAUGACGGCCUUCGGGGUGUAAACCGAUGUGGAAGGUGACGAAGCGGGAGUGACGGUAAUGGGUAAAGAAGCAACGGCUAACUACGUG